AUGGCCAACAGCUGCGCGAGCCUUGACACCACCUGGUCCCACCUCCCCGCUCCCGCCCCGGCUCCCUGGCCAUACGCCGCCUGGUUCUCCCCCGCCGCCGCCGCCUUUGAGAACGACGCGCUCGCCACCGCGCUCGCUCGCGCCUCCGCCUCGCCGUCCUCCCCGACCCCUUCCUCCUCCACGACCACCACCUCCUCCGCGUCCGAGCUGUCCUGCACUCCGUACGACGCGCCCGCGCUGCCCGCCGUAAGCUGCAGGCCAGCCUCGGCGGCGGCGGCGGCGCGGCACUGCACGGGCCGCGUCUCCAAGCGGAAGCCCCGGGUGUCCCGCCGCCCGCAGACCACGUACAUCACCGCCGACCCGGCCAACUUCCGUCGCAUGGUGCAGGAGAUCACCGGCUACGCCCUUCCCGGCGCGGAGAGAGCCUCCGCCGUGCCAGCGCCGCCCCGGGCGGACCCGCUCGCUUUCGUGCUCCCGACGCUGGACACGUCCGCCUGCUUCUUGCUGGACCAGGGCCAGGCGCCCUCGCUGCCGCAGCAGCGUUGGGAGGACAAGACGUCGGGCGGAGCGGCGGCGGCGACAGCAAUGCCCGCGAUGGCGGACGACUCGUCGCUGCGGCUGAUGCAGGAGCUGGAGGCCAUGGUGAGCGCGCCGCCCGCCGUGUCCUCCUUCCCGACGUUGGAGAGCUGGGGGAUGAUCUGA
Molecule: ribosomal RNA, 702 nt
Filed under: Triticum aestivum (bread wheat)
Lineage: Eukaryota; Viridiplantae; Streptophyta; Magnoliopsida; Poales; Poaceae
Description: partial small subunit ribosomal RNA
Source: RNAcentral